RNAcentral lists this long non-coding RNA (1154 nucleotides) under Ananas comosus (pineapple). RNAcentral describes it as "long non-coding RNA (ACOM_LNC002402)". The record is from RNAcentral. Lineage: Eukaryota; Viridiplantae; Streptophyta; Magnoliopsida; Poales; Bromeliaceae.
UAAUUCUCAUAUUUUUCCAAAAAAUUAAUUUGAAAAUAAAGGAGCAUAUAUACAACAUCAAUAUGUCUUAGUUUUAACUAAUAAAGGAGCCCGCGCUUCGCAGCGGGUAGCAACUAUAGGAGUAAUUAAUAAUAAAAAAAUAUCAAAUAUUCUUUUGUGUACUUCACUUGCCGCAGUCACUAAAGGUCCCUCACUAUUGGUGCCCGGGAUGGGACCGACGACGCCUUCUCUGGCGAUGGUGACAGCGAAGAUGACAACGAUCUCUUCGACCGCGACAGAGAAGGGAGAUGGGCACACAUUAGUGAGAGAGGGAGGGAGAGAGGCGACGGUGUAAAGAAAAAGAUGAGGGAGAGAGAAUUAAUGAAUUAAUUGGGGAUGAAGAUGUACGGAUUGCAGAUAGCAAAGAAUAAUUUGGAUACAUUACUUAGAAGUCUAGUAGAGGGAAAGAGAAUUAUCAUAAUGGAUUAAUUGGAGAGAAAGAUGUGAGGAUUGUAGAUGGCAGUGAAAUCAUUUAGAUGCAUCAAUUGGAAGUUUGGUAAUGAAACCGUUUAAACGCAUUAAUUAUAUGCAUUAAUUGAAAGUUUAAUGAAGUAAAUGGAAAAAGUCACACCUGGUGAGGGUGAAGGACAACUUGCAAUAGGAAAUGGGAAGGGUCACACGCUAGUGAGGGUGAAGAACAACUUACCACAUGGCAAAAAAUAUUGAGAAUUUAUAUAGGUUGAUAGAUUAAUUGGAGAGAAAGAAGUAAUUAAGGAUUGUAAAUGGCAGUGGAAUUAUUUAGAUGCAUUAAUUGAAAGUUUGGUAAUGAGACCGUUUAGAUGCAAAAAAUGAAAAUUUGAUGAAGAGAAUAGAAAGGAUGACACACUGGUGAGGAUAAAAGACAACUUCCCAUAGGGAAUGGAAAGAGUCACACACUAAUGAGGGCGAAUGACAACUUGCCGCGUGGAAAAAAAAUAUUGGAGAUUCAUAUAGGUUAAUAGAUAGAUUUAGAUGUAUUAAUUAGAUGCAUUAAUUGAAAAUUUGAUAAAGAGAAUGGAAAGGUUGACACACAGAUGAGGAUGAAGGACAACUUGCCAUAAGGAAUAUGAAUGGUCACACACUGAUGAAGGUGAAUAACAACUUGGCAUGUGACAAAAAAUAUUGGGGAUUCAUAU